UGAUGCGCGCUACCAUGCAGUCGAGCGAACCUUCGGGUUAGCGGCGGACGGGUGAGUAACGCGUGGGAACGUACCCUCUUCUGCGGGAUAGCCACUGGAAACGGUGAGUAAUACCGCAUACGCCCUUCGGGGGAAAGAUUUAUCGGAGGAGGAUCGGCCCGCGUUGGAUUAGGUAGUUGGUGGGGUAAUGGCCUACCAAGCCUACGAUCCAUAGCUGGUUUUAGAGGAUGAUCAGCCACACUGGGACUGAGACACGGCCCAGACUCCUACGGGAGGCAGCAGUGGGGAAUCUUAGACAAUGGGCGCAAGCCUGAUCUAGCCAUGCCGCGUGAGUGACGAAGGCCUUAGGGUCGUAAAGCUCUUUCGCCAGAGAUGAUAAUGACAGUAUCUGGUAAAGAAACCCCGGCUAACUCCGUGCCAGCAGCCGCGGUAAUACGGAGGGGGUUAGCGUUGUUCGGAAUUACUGGGCGUAAAGCGCACGUAGGCGGAUUGGAAAGUUGGGGGUGAAAUCCCAGGGCUCAACCCUGGAACUGCCUCCAAAACUCCCAGUCUGGAGUUCGAGAGAGGUGAGUGGAAUUCCGAGUGUAGAGGUGAAAUUCGUAGAUAUUCGGAGGAACACCAGUGGCGAAGGCGGCUCACUGGCUCGAUACUGACGCUGAG
RNAcentral lists this ribosomal RNA (660 nucleotides) under Roseovarius sp. Its description in RNAcentral is "bacterial SSU rRNA". It matches the Rfam family "Bacterial small subunit ribosomal RNA", at positions 40 to 750 of the family's 1533-position model. Lineage: Bacteria; Pseudomonadati; Pseudomonadota; Alphaproteobacteria; Rhodobacterales; Roseobacteraceae. The record is from RNAcentral.